Molecule: long non-coding RNA, 301 nt
Organism: Alosa alosa (allis shad)
Lineage: Eukaryota; Metazoa; Chordata; Actinopteri; Clupeiformes; Clupeidae
Exons: 3
Source: RefSeq, a predicted model, not a curated record
GGGCAUUUGAACCUAUGAUUUGAACACAUGAGCUGCACUAGUCCAGUAUCAGUAGGCCAAUGGACUAACAUGAACAUCAUUCAGCUGGUGCAGGGGGAGAGAGUCACGUCACUUGGCUGAAGUAACCAUACAAGAAAAAGGAAGAUGACGGCAUUGUCAUCAUCAUUAUCAUCAUCACCAUCAUCCCACAAGCAUUUGCAUGGCAAAAGCCAUUUGAUGCAGGCCAGCUUGAGAAGAGAGAGACAAUCAUGAUGUUUGGAAGUGGGACACAUAUUUUCACAAUAAAGUACAUUUAACCAGA